This 381-nucleotide ribosomal RNA is filed under the name uncultured bacterium. RNAcentral describes it as "partial 16S ribosomal RNA". It matches the Rfam family "Bacterial small subunit ribosomal RNA", at positions 338 to 730 of the family's 1533-position model. The record is from RNAcentral.
CCUACGGGAGGCAGCAGUAGGGAAUAUUCGGCAAUGGGGGCAACCCUGACCGAGCAACGCCGCGUGAACGAAGAAGGCCUUCGGAAUGUAAAGUUCUUUUAACAGGGAAGAAAGAGAAAUUAGACGGUACCUUAAGAAUAAGCUUCGUCUAACUACGUGCCAGCACCCGCGGUAAUCCGUAGAGAGAGAGGGUUAUCCGGAAUUAUUGGUCUAAAGGGGUGGGUAGAUGGUAUAGAAAGCAGUUGGUAAAAAUGGUGGGCUAAACCUAGUAGGGCAAAAGAUACUGCAAAGCUAGAGUAUAACAGAGGCAAGUGGAAUUCCAGGUGUAGCGGUAAAAUGCUUAAAUAUAUGUAAGAACACCAGUGGCGAAGGCGGCUUGCU